UACUGAGUAGGAUAGAUGCCUGCAGUGC
RNAcentral lists this small RNA (28 nucleotides) under Bombyx mori (domestic silkworm). Its description in RNAcentral is "ovarian small RNA-21464". Lineage: Eukaryota; Metazoa; Arthropoda; Insecta; Lepidoptera; Bombycidae. The record is from RNAcentral.